Salvia miltiorrhiza (redroot sage) is the source of this 474-nucleotide long non-coding RNA. RefSeq lists it as uncharacterized. NCBI's taxonomy places the organism in Eukaryota, Viridiplantae, Streptophyta, Magnoliopsida, Lamiales, Lamiaceae. The record is from RefSeq and is a predicted model, not a curated record. The transcript is spliced from 2 exons.
UUAGCUUUUGUUUAAAUCCGAUAAUCUGGAUUAACAAUAGAGAAUUCCCUGAUUAUUAUCUCAGAAUAAUAGUUCAUGCAUACGAGAUUCAUGCAUAGUUAAAUUACGCAUUCUCAUUUAAUUGAGAAUUUUUCCUCGAUUUAAAGUCUUACGUUAUUUUCUCGGAUUAAAGGUCGAGAGCAAGAAUAAGAGCUCGUCAAGGAGUCAUUAAUCUGUAGUAAAGCUUUGCUAUCAGGUUGAGCAGUUGCCGAUGGUGAUGAAGUGACGAGCGGGUUUCUUUUGUCUUAUUAUGUAUUAAUGAACUCUAGGGAUACAUGUCUUCAUACAUGUAUUCAGAACCUUAUUCCGCUGCGUACUCAGAAGUUUUAUGUUAUUUUGGCUAAGUCGGAGUUAUCCGAACUUACUAGUUAUUUGAGUCUAUAUGACUAAACCUCCGUUAUAUUAUAAAUAUCCCUUUUGUUAACAAUAAUGAAA